Molecule: long non-coding RNA, 323 nt
Organism: Drosophila yakuba
Lineage: Eukaryota; Metazoa; Arthropoda; Insecta; Diptera; Drosophilidae
Exons: 2
Source: RefSeq, a predicted model, not a curated record
ACGAUAACUCCAGAACAGCCAGAGAAGCGCAAACAACAUCAAAGUAAACCCAAUAAGUGCGAAGAAUAAUUAUCUUAUAUUCUAAACCGGAACGAUGGAAAUUCCAAUGUACCUCAGAUACAAUAUUUAGUCGAUAAACUAAAACGGGAAAUAAAUGGAUUAAGAAUUAUUAACAGAAGCAAAAGAGGUCUCUUGAACGUAGUACGGAAGGCAUAUAAGUACUUAUUUGGUACAUUAGAUGAAGACGACAGGGAGGAGCUAAAGGAAAAAAUUAAUAACAUGCCAGAAGACUCCGUGAAAACCCAUUAUCGACUUAAUCAACA